Molecule: ribosomal RNA, 440 nt
Filed under: uncultured bacterium
Lineage: Bacteria
Description: partial 16S ribosomal RNA
Rfam family: Bacterial small subunit ribosomal RNA
Source: RNAcentral
CCUACGGGAGGCAGCAGUGGGGGAUAUUGCACAAUGGGGGGAACCCUGAUGCAGCGACGCCGCGUGGGUGAAGAAGCGCCUCGGCGCGUAAAGCCCUGUCAGCAGGGAAGAAAAUGACGGUACCUGAAGAAGAACCCCCGGCUAACUACGUGCCAGCAGCCGCGGUAAGACGUAGGGGGCAAGCGUUAUCCGGAUUUACUGGGUGUAAGGGGGGCGCAGACGGCGAUGCAAGCCAGGAGGGAAAGCCCGGGGUCCAACCCCGGGACUGCUCUUGGAACUGCCUGGCUGGAGUGCAGGAGGGGCAAGCGGAAUUCCAGGUGUAGCGGUGAAAUGCGUAGAUAUCAGGAGGAACACCAGUGGCGAAGGCGGCCUGCUGGACUGCAACUGACGUUGAGGCCCGAAAGCGUGGGGAGCAAACAGGAUUAGAUACCCCAGUAGUC